CAGGUGUGAUAGGUAGUUGCUGGUGAUUCCUAUUUAACAUAUGAAUCACGAGAGGAAAGUCCGUGCUACACAUGAGAUAGAACUCCAUCUAACGGAUGGCCAGAGUAAUCUGAGGGCAAGUGCAACAGAGAGUAGACAGCCAUUUAUCUAUACGAGAAGAUUCUCUUCUCAUUCCCCCUAUUUCUUAUGGGUAAAUGGUCAAGGUGAAAGGGUGAGGUAAGAGCUCACCAGUGUUUAUGGUAACAUAGGCAGCUAGGUAAACCCUGUUCGUAGCAAGAAGUAAUGGUAUUAAAUCUCAUUAUGUCAUUGGAUUGACAAAACUGCUUCGCUUGAGCGUAUUGGCAACAAUACGCCUAGAUAAAUAACUACCCACGACAAAACACGGCUUAUCGUCACACCUAUUUA
Molecule: RNase P RNA, 405 nt
Filed under: Sulfurovum sp.
Lineage: Bacteria; Pseudomonadati; Campylobacterota; Epsilonproteobacteria; Campylobacterales; Sulfurovaceae
Description: RNase P RNA component class A
Rfam family: Bacterial RNase P class A
About the family: Ribonuclease P (RNase P) is a ubiquitous endoribonuclease, found in archaea, bacteria and eukarya as well as chloroplasts and mitochondria.
Source: RNAcentral